GGCCAGAGCGGCCUCUAUUGUUGCUGUGUCAUAGGGGAGCGGCGGCGGCCCCUGGCGGCAGCGCCGGGAACAGCGGGUCGGCCUCUGCCGACACGCAGAAGGGCCCCCGCGGGGCGGCGCUGCGGGUUGAGGCCGGGACCCGGUGGUGGGCGCCGGACGGUACGUGCCCGCGGGGCCGAGCUGGCUGACGUGCACCCAGGGACGAGUGUCCGUAGCGGUUACCCACUCGGUUCUGAAUGGAACCAACUCUCCACACCCGCAGGAAGACAGCCCGUCUGACUCGCAUUAUUCGGGCUUGAGGCCUCCUUUCUGACACUAAUAUCCGAUGGCCUGCAUGUACCUCUGUUUGCUUGCUGAAGGAGUUCAUGGUUUCUUCCAAGUACCUGUCAUUAUGAUUACAGCUGCUGUAAACAUCUGUGUGCAAGCGCGUAUGGACACAGUGCUAUUUAGGAGGAUGUCUCAAGUGACAGGACUACUAUGCAAGCACCAAGGCCCCGUGCAAGUUUGUGCUCACACGUAACUGUGCGCAGGAGACCAUCUUUCAAUAUGUAUCUUCCACGGGAAAGCUCAUGAUGGACACUUUCAAGAGCUGUCCCAGGAUAAACUCUGGCUUCUGAUGAAGGGCAAAGAGUGAAUACUGAGGGAGGAGUACCGCCUGCCCAGCAUGGAUCAGGAUGGAGAGUGGCCCUCCAGACAUUCAGGCCUUUCUCCCCAUCCCCAGGCAUGACUUUCACGAGAUGGAUGUCUUCUGUACUCAUUUGUUACUUCAAUGUAGCCUAGGAUCAUAACAAUAGGCAUUCCCAGCAGAAAGCUUUGUUGGUAUUCAAUCUUGCCUUGUAAGCCAGAAGCAAGCUAUCAUACUGAAAACCUAUGCACAGUGCUCAUUUGUAGUGUGACUGCCUAGUCUUGGGUCAGAAUGAGACGGACCAGGGCAAUGGCUCUGCUCAUAUGAACUUUGCAUGAAGUCAGUCCUGAAAUGCACUCUACCUCUGAGCUGCACCCAGCUUUUGAAAUGCAACUUUAACCCACUGAAUUAAAUAAAUAAUAAAGUAUUGGGAUUUGUAUUUUGUUCAUUUUUUUCAAUCAUUUUCUUUUCUGUCGUUGUUGUUUUGAGAUA
Long non-coding RNA from Peromyscus eremicus (cactus mouse), 1117 nucleotides. RefSeq lists it as uncharacterized. The record is from RefSeq and is a predicted model, not a curated record. The transcript has 4 exons. NCBI's taxonomy places the organism in Eukaryota, Metazoa, Chordata, Mammalia, Rodentia, Cricetidae.